AGUGAACGCUGGCGGUAGGCCUAACACAUGCAAGUCGAACGGCAGCACAGUAAGAGCUUGCUCUUACGGGUGGCGAGUGGCGGACGGGUGAGGAAUACAUCGGAAUCUACUUUUUCGUGGGGAUAACGUAGGGAAACUUACGCUAAUACCGCAUACGACCUACGGGUGAAAGCAGGGGAUCUUCGGACCUUGCGCGAUUGAAUGAGCCGAUGUCGGAUUAGCUAGUUGGCGGGGUAAAGGCCCACCAAGGCGACGAUCCGUAGCUGGUCUGAGAGGAUGAUCAGCUACACUGGAACUGAGACACGGUCCAGACUCCUACGGGAGGCAGCAGUGGGGAAUAUUGGACAAUGGGCGCAAGCCUGAUCCAGCCAUACCGCGUGGGUGAAGAAGGCCUUCGGGUUGUAAAGCCCUUUUGUUGGGAAAGAAAAGCAGCAGGUUAAUACCCCGCUGUUCUGACGGUACCCAAAGAAUAAGCACCGGCUAACUUCGUG
Molecule: ribosomal RNA, 491 nt
Filed under: uncultured bacterium
Lineage: Bacteria
Description: partial 16S ribosomal RNA
Rfam family: Bacterial small subunit ribosomal RNA
Source: RNAcentral